GAUGAACGCUGGCGGCGUGCCUAAUACAUGCAAGUCGAGCGAACAGACGAGGAGCUUGCUCCGCUGGCGGUAGCGGCGAACGGGUGAGUAACACGUGGAUAACCUGCCUAUAAGACUGGGAUAACUGCGGGAAACCGGAGCUAAGACCGGAUAAUAUAUUGAACCGCAUGGUUCAAUAGUGAAAGACGGUUUUGCUGUCAGUUAUAGAUGGAUCCGCGCGGCAUUAGCUAGUGGGGAAGGUAACGGAUUACCAAGGCAACGAUGGGUAGCCGACACGAAAGGGUGGUCGGCGAGCUUGGAAGUGAGGCACGGCCCCCACACCGAGGGUGGGACGCGGUAGGGACUCCUACGGAAUGGGGGAGAGCCUGAUGGUGCACCGCGGCGGGAGUGCUGAAGGUCUUCGGAUGGUAGAGUUCUGUUAGUAGGGAGGAAGAAAAGUGUAAUUAACUAUGACCGUCGUGACGGUACCUACACAGAAAGCCCCGGCUAACUUCGUG
RNAcentral lists this ribosomal RNA (497 nucleotides) under uncultured bacterium. Its description in RNAcentral is "partial 16S ribosomal RNA". It matches the Rfam family "Bacterial small subunit ribosomal RNA", at positions 28 to 507 of the family's 1533-position model. The record is from RNAcentral.